GAGGGUGUAGCUCAGCGGUACUGUGUGUGCUUGGCAUGCACGAGGCCCUGGGUUCAAUCCUCAGUACCUCCA
Molecule: transfer RNA, 72 nt
Filed under: Camelus bactrianus (Bactrian camel)
Lineage: Eukaryota; Metazoa; Chordata; Mammalia; Artiodactyla; Camelidae
Also listed under: 1 other name
Rfam family: tRNA
About the family: Transfer RNA (tRNA) molecules are approximately 80 nucleotides in length. Their secondary structure includes four short double-helical elements and three loops (D, anti-codon, and T loops).
Source: Rfam by way of RNAcentral